RNAcentral lists this transfer RNA (85 nucleotides) under Thermodesulfobacteriota bacterium. Its description in RNAcentral is "Thermodesulfobacteria bacterium tRNA-Leu". It matches the Rfam family "tRNA". From Rfam's summary of the family: Transfer RNA (tRNA) molecules are approximately 80 nucleotides in length. The record is from RNAcentral. Lineage: Bacteria; Pseudomonadati; Thermodesulfobacteriota.
GCGAGAGUGGCGGAAUUGGUAUACGCACUGGACUUAGGAUCCAGCGGGGUGACCUAUGCGAGUUCAAGUCUCGCCUCUCGCACCA